GAUGAACGCUGGCGGCGUGCUUAACACAUGCAAGUCGAACGAGAAAUGUAGACGGAAACCUUCGGGCGGAAGCCUUCAUUUCGAGUGGCGGACGGGUGAGUAACGCGUGGGUAACCUGCCUCAUACAGGGGGAUAACAGUUGGAAACGACUGUUAAUACCGCAUAAGACCACAGCAUCGCAUGAUGCGGGGGUAAAAACUCCGGUGGUAUGGGAUGGACGCGCGUUCGAUUAGCCAGUUGGCGGGGUAACGGCCCACCAAAGCGACGAUCGAUAGCCGAUCUGAGAGGAUGACCGGCCACAUUGGGACUGAGACACGGCCCAAACUCCUACGGGAGGCAGCAGUGGGGAAUAUUGCACGAUGGGGGAAACCCUGAUGCAGCGACGCCGCGUGAGUGAAGAAGUACUUCGGUAUGUAAAGCUCUAUCAGCAGGGAAGAAAAUGACGGUACCUGAGUAAGAAGCCCCGGCUAACUACGUG
Molecule: ribosomal RNA, 478 nt
Filed under: uncultured bacterium
Lineage: Bacteria
Description: partial 16S ribosomal RNA
Rfam family: Bacterial small subunit ribosomal RNA
Source: RNAcentral